Molecule: ribosomal RNA, 253 nt
Filed under: uncultured bacterium
Lineage: Bacteria
Description: partial 16S ribosomal RNA
Rfam family: Bacterial small subunit ribosomal RNA
Source: RNAcentral
UACAGAGGGUGCGAGCGUUAAUCGGAAUUACUGGGCGUAAAGCGUGCGUAGACGGUUACGUAAGUCGGAUGUGAAAGCCCCGGGCUCAACCUGGGAAUUGCAUUCGAGACUGCGUAGCUAGGAUGCGGAAGAGGGAAGCGGAAUUUCCGGUGUAGCGGUGAAAUGCGUAGAGAUGUGGAGGAACACCAGUGGCGAAGGCGACUCUUUGGCCUGUAACUGACGCUGAGGCGCGAAAGCGUGGGGAGCAAACAGG